AAAAAAAAGAAUGUAACUAUGAUGAUGAAAUAAAAAACAGAUAUAAAGUAAAAAACAAUUUAACUCAAGCUUCACAUUUUGAGAUUGCAUUCAAUUCCGAGAAGAGAGUAGAAAUACAGACUGACCAGAAGGUGGCAGCCUACAGCCUCAGUAUUGGCCUUGGACAAGACAACAGUGACGUUAGCAGUUUAAAUACAUGCAGGCAGAUGAGCACAAUACCUUGAUGAUCCUGUCUCCUGUCUGAACACCUGCUCGCAUAGCAGCACCAUCUGGGGAACAAAGACGGAGAAGAGCAAAGAGAAAAAAAAGGAGAACAGUGUGCAACGUUUUUUGAGACUUGAUGGACCCCACAUCAUCUUAUACAGACAGAGAAAGACUGCGGGAAACCACAUAAGUAUCCUGUCAGAUCCCCCCCCUGUAAAAACGCAACACUGUAAAGCAGAAGCUGCAGCUACAGGGAAACUACUAAGGAGGAAAUGUACAGUGAAAGGCUCUGCUUCUCUAAUUUUCUUACCUUCUUUGACAAGCUGCACAAACACUGGGUUGUCGCCGCUGACGGUGAGCCCAAAGCCGUUUUCAUCUUUCUGGAUGAUCACACAUCGCUGGACCAGACCUGCAAGUGAGGAGAACGACAGACACA
This is a long non-coding RNA of Labrus mixtus (cuckoo wrasse), 640 nucleotides long. RefSeq lists it as uncharacterized. The transcript is spliced from 3 exons. The record is from RefSeq and is a predicted model, not a curated record. Lineage: Eukaryota; Metazoa; Chordata; Actinopteri; Labriformes; Labridae.